UCGAGCGGAAACGAGUUAUCCGAACCUUCGGGGAACGAUAACGGCGUCGAGCGGCGGACGGGUGAGUAAUGCCUAGGAAAUUGCCCUGAUGUGGGGGAUAACCAUUGGAAACGAUGGCUAAUACCGCAUAAUGCCUACGGGCCAAAGAGGGGGACCUUCGGGCCUCUCGCGUCAGGAUAUGCCUAGGUGGGAUUAGCUAGUUGGUGAGGUAAUGGCUCACCAAGGCGACGAUCCCUAGCUGGUCUGAGAGGAUGAUCAGCCACACUGGAACCGAGACACGGUCCAGACUCCUACGGGAGGCAGCAGUGGGGAACAUUGCACAAUGGGCGCAAGCCUGAUGCAGCCAUGCCGCGUGUGUGAAGAAGGCCUUCGGGUUGUAAAGCACUUUCAGUCGUGAGGAAGGUAGUGUAGUUAAUAGCUGCAUUACUUGACGUUAGCGACAGAAGAAGCACCGGCUAACUCCGUGCCAGCAGCCGCGGUAAUACGGAGGGUGCGAGCGUUAAUCGGAAUUACUGGGCGUAAAGCGCAUGCAGGUGGUUUGUUAAGUCAGAUGUGAAAGCCCGGGGCUCAACCUCGGAAUAGCAUUUGAAACUGGCAGACUAGAGUACUGUAGAGGGGGGUAGAAUUUCAGGUGUAGCGGUGAAAUGCGUAGAGAUCUGAAGGAAUACCGGUGGCGAAGGCGGCCCCCUGGACAGAUACUGACACUCAGAUGCNAAAGCGUGGGGAG
RNAcentral lists this ribosomal RNA (727 nucleotides) under uncultured bacterium. RNAcentral describes it as "bacterial SSU rRNA". It matches the Rfam family "Bacterial small subunit ribosomal RNA", at positions 62 to 768 of the family's 1533-position model. The record is from RNAcentral.